RNAcentral lists this ribosomal RNA (440 nucleotides) under uncultured bacterium. Its description in RNAcentral is "partial 16S ribosomal RNA". It matches the Rfam family "Bacterial small subunit ribosomal RNA", at positions 338 to 795 of the family's 1533-position model. The record is from RNAcentral.
CCUACGGGAGGCAGCAGUGGGGAAUAUUGCACAAUGGGGGAAACCCUGAUGCAGCGACGCCGCGUGAGUGAAGCAGUAUUUCGGUAUGUAAAGCUCUAUCAGCAGGGCAGAAAAUGACGGUACCUGAUUAAGAAGCCCCGGCUAACUACGUGCCAGCAGCCGCGGUAAUACGUAGGGGGCAAGCGUUAUCCGGAUUUACUGGGUGUAAAGGGAGCGUAGACGGCAGCACAAGUCUGGAGUGGAAUGCAGGGGCUUAACCUCGGAACUGCUUUGGAAACUGUGCAGCUAGAGUGCGGGAGAGGUAAGUGGAAUUCCUAGUGUAGCGGUGAAAUGCGUAGAUAUUAGGAGGAACACCAGUGGCGAAGGCGGCUUACUGGACUGUAACUGACGUUGAGGAUCGAAAGCGUGGGGAGCAAACAGGAUUAGAUACCCCAGUAGUC